RNAcentral lists this unclassified non-coding RNA (313 nucleotides) under plant metagenome. RNAcentral's name for it is "partial contains 5.8S ribosomal RNA, internal transcribed spacer 2, and large subunit ribosomal RNA". The stretch from base 1 to 105 matches the Rfam family "5.8S ribosomal RNA", at positions 50 to 154 of the family's 154-position model. The record is from RNAcentral.
GAAAUGCGAUACGUAGUGUGAAUUGCAGAAUUCAGUGAAUCAUCGAAUCUUUGAACGCACAUUGCGCCCUUUGGUAUUCCAAAGGGCAUGCCUGUUCGAGCGUCAUUUGUACCCUCAAGCUUUGCUUGGUGUUGGGCGUUUUUUGUCUUUGGCUCGCCCAAAGACUCGCCUUAAAACGAUUGGCAGCCGGCCUACUGGUUUCGCAGCACAGCACAUUUUUGCGCUUGCAAUCAGCAAAAGAGGACGGCAAUCCAUCAAGACUCCUUCUCACGUUUGACCUCGGAUCAGGUAGGGAUACCCGCUGAACUUAAGC